GACGAACGCUGGCGGCGUGCUUAACACAUGCAAGUCGAACGGACAGGCCCUGCUUUUGUGGGGUGCUCGAGUGGCGAACGGGUGAGUAACACGUGAGUAACCUGCCCUUGACUUUGGGAUAACUUCAGGAAACUGGGGCUAAUACCGGAUAGGAGCUCCUGCUGCAUGGUGGGGGUUGGAAAGUUUCGGCGGUUGGGGAUGGACUCGCGGCUUAUCAGCUUGUUGGUGGGGUAGUGGCUUACCAAGGCUUUGACGGGUAGCCGGCCUGAGAGGGUGACCGGCCACAUUGGGACUGAGAUACGGCCCAGACUCCUACGGGAGGCAGCAGUGGGGAAUAUUGCACAAUGGGCGGAAGCCUGAUGCAGCAACGCCGCGUGCGGGAUGACGGCCUUCGGGUUGUAAACCGCUUUCGCCUGUGACGAAGCGUGAGUGACGGUAAUGGGUAAAGAGGCACCGGCUAACUACGUG
Molecule: ribosomal RNA, 468 nt
Filed under: uncultured bacterium
Lineage: Bacteria
Description: partial 16S ribosomal RNA
Rfam family: Bacterial small subunit ribosomal RNA
Source: RNAcentral